GAUGAACGCUGGCGGCGUGCCUAAUACAUGCAAGUCGAGCGAACCGACCAGAAGUUUGCUUCUCUGAUGUUAUCGGCGGACGGGAGAGUAACACAUGGUUAACCUACCUACCAGACUGGGAUAACUUUGGCAAACCGUAGCUAAUACCGGAUAAUAUUUUGAACCUCAUGGUUCCCCAGUUAAAGACGGUCUUGCUGUCACUUAUAGAUGUAUCCGCGCUGCAUUAGGUAGUUGGUAAGGUAACGGCUUACCAAGGCAACGAGGCAUAGCCGACCUGAGAGGGUGAACGGCAAGCCUGGAACUGAGACAGGGUCGAGACUCCGGGAGGAGGAAGCAGUAGGGAAUCUUCCGCAAUGGGGGAAAGCCUAACGGAGCAAAGCCGCGUGAGGGAUGAAGGUGUACGGAUAGGAAAACGCUGAAAGUAGGAAAGAACAUAAGUGAAAGUAACUGUGAACAUCUUGACGGUACCUAGUCAGAAAGCCACGGCUAACUAAGUG
RNAcentral lists this ribosomal RNA (497 nucleotides) under uncultured bacterium. Its description in RNAcentral is "partial 16S ribosomal RNA". It matches the Rfam family "Bacterial small subunit ribosomal RNA", at positions 28 to 507 of the family's 1533-position model. The record is from RNAcentral.